GAUGAACGCUAGCGGCAGGCUUAACACAUGCAAGUCGAGGGGUAGAGGUUGCUUGCAACCUUGAGACCGGCGCACGGGUGCGUAACGCGUAUGCAACCUACCUUUUACAGAGGGAUAGCCCAGAGAAAUUUGGAUUAAUACCUCAUAGUAUAUAACCUUCGCAUGUUGGUUAUAUUAAAGUUCCAACGGUAAAAGAUGGGCAUGCGUCCUAUUAGCUAGAUGGUAAGGUAACGGCUUACCAUGGCAACGAUAGGUAGGGGUCCUGAGAGGGAGAUCACCCACACUGGGACUGAGAAACGGACCAGACUCCUACGGGAGGCAGCAGUGAGGAAUAUUGGACAAUGGGCGCAAGCCUGAUCCAGCCAUGCCGCGUGCAGGAAGAAGCAUCUAUGGUGUGUAAACUGCUUUUGUACAGGAAGAAACACCCCGACGUGUCGGGGCUUGACGGUACUGUAAGAAUAAGGAUCGGCUAACUCCGUGCCAGCAGCCGCGGUAA
Molecule: ribosomal RNA, 496 nt
Filed under: uncultured bacterium
Lineage: Bacteria
Description: partial 16S ribosomal RNA
Rfam family: Bacterial small subunit ribosomal RNA
Source: RNAcentral